AUUGAACGCUGGCGGCAUGGCUAAAACAUGCAAGUCGAACGAUCCCUUCGGGGAGAGUGGCGAAAGGGCGAGGAAUAGAAUCGAAUGUACCCCAAGGUGGGGGAUAGCCUCUGGAAACGGAGGGUAAUACCCCAUGUGCUCUAUGGAGGAAAGGUUUACCGCCUUGGGAGCAGCGAUUCUCCUAUCAGGUAGUUGGUGAGGUAACGGCUCACCAAGCCGAAGACGGGUAGCGGGUGUGAGAGCAUGACCCGCCGCAUCGGGACUGAGACACUGCCCGGACUCCUACGGGAGGCUGCAGUAACGAAUCUUCCGCAAUGGGCGAAAGCCUGACGGAGCAAUGCCGCGUGUGGGAUGAAGCAUCUUCGAUGUGUAAACCACUGUCAGGGUCUAGGAAUACUGACCAGACCCAAAGGAAGGGCCGGCUAAUUCCGUG
RNAcentral lists this ribosomal RNA (433 nucleotides) under uncultured bacterium. Its description in RNAcentral is "bacterial SSU rRNA". It matches the Rfam family "Bacterial small subunit ribosomal RNA", at positions 30 to 507 of the family's 1533-position model. The record is from RNAcentral.